This 1532-nucleotide ribosomal RNA is filed under the name uncultured bacterium. RNAcentral's name for it is "bacterial SSU rRNA". It matches the Rfam family "Bacterial small subunit ribosomal RNA". The record is from RNAcentral.
GAGUUUGAUCCUGGCUCAGGACGAACGCUGGCGGCAUGCCUAACACAUGCAAGUCGAACGGACCGACCCGACGGAAUUCUUCGGAAGGAAGUUGGUUAGGUUAGUGGCGGACGGGUGAGUAACGCGUGGAUAACCUGCCUCUAGGAUGGGGACAACCCCGGGAAACCGGGGCUAAUACCGAAUAACAUUUCUGAAUCGCAUGGUUCGAAAAUCAAAGGUGGCCUCUCAUUGAAGCUACCGUCUAGAGAUGGAUCCGCGUCUGAUUAGCUAGUUGGUGAGGUAGUGGCUCACCAAGGCGACGAUCAGUAGCCGGCCUGAGAGGGUGAACGGCCACACUGGGACUGAGACACGGCCCAGACUCCUACGGGAGGCAGCAGUGGGGAAUCUUCCGCAAUGGGCGAAAGCCUGACGGAGCAAUGCCGCGUGAAUGAAGAAGGCCUUCGGGUUGUAAAGUUCUGUCCUUAAGGAAGAAUGUUACAUAUGUGAAUAAUGUAUGUAAGUGACGGUACUUAUGGAGGAAGCCCCGGCUAACUACGUGCCAGCAGUCGCGGUAAUACGUAGGGGGCGAGCGUUGUCCGGAAUCACUGGGCGUAAAGCGCAUGUAGGCGGAUUAUUAAGUCAGAUGUGAAAACUAUGGGCUCAACCUGUAGACUGCAUCUGAUACUGGUAAUCUUGAGUAUAGGAGAGGAAAGUGGAAUUCCUAGUGUAGCGGUGAAAUGCGUAGAUAUUAGGAGGAACACCAGUGGCGAAGGCGACUUUCUGGCCUAUAACUGACGCUGAGAUGCGAAAGCGUGGGUAGCAAACAGGAUUAGAUACCCUGGUAGUCCACGCCGUAAACGAUGGGUACUAGGUGUUGGGUGUCAAAGCUCAGUGCCGCAGUUAACACAAUAAGUACCCCGCCUGGGGAGUACGGUCGCAAGACUGAAACUCAAAGGAAUUGACGGGGGCCCGCACAAGCGGUGGAGCAUGUGGUUUAAUUCGACGCAACGCGAAGAACCUUACCAAGGCUUGACAUCCCUUGACAGGUCCAGAGAUGGAUUUUUCUUUUCGAAGACAAGGAGACAGGUGGUGCAUGGUUGUCGUCAGCUCGUGUCGUGAGAUGUUGGGUUAAGUCCCGCAACGGGCGCAACCCUUGUCUUUAGUUGCCAUCAGUUCGGCUGGGCACUCUAGAGAGACUGCCGGUGACAAACCGGAGGAAGGUGGGGAUGACGUCAAAUCAUCAUGCCCCUUAUGAUUUGGGCUACACACGUGCUACAAUGGUCGGUACAACGGGCAGCGAAGGGGUGACCUGGAGCGAAUCCUAAAAAGCCGAUCCCAGUUCGGAUUGUAGGCUGCAACUCGCCUACAUGAAGUUGGAGUUGCUAGUAAUCGUGAAUCAGAAUGUCGCGGUGAAUGCGUUCCCGGGUCUUGUACACACCGCCCGUCACACCAUGGAAGUUGGGGGCACCCGAAGCCAGUGAUCUAACCCGUAAGGGAGGAAGCUGUCGAAGGUGAAAUCAAUGACUGGGGUGAAGUCGUAACAAGGUAGCCGU